CUGACCGCUAGAUGCCACUGACUUCAAUUGAUUUGUCAUUUGCCUGCAUCAUGAAAUGAAACAUGGCGAAACAAAUUGUUGCUAUUGUAUACUUAUUUUUCUGUGAUUCCGAAUACUGAAUUGAACUUCGUUUGUAAAAGUCGACCGUCAUUACAACAAGUUGACUUAUCACUUAUCAGUCAAUUUCCAUCCGGCCAUUAGAUCCUUAUACUCUCAAAAGCCUGAAACUCAUAUUUGAAGGCUUGAAGCUCACAUACAGUGGAAUAAGACAAAAGUUAUUACUCAUGGACCAUAGGAUAUUUUCUGAAUCUUGCAAGUGUAACCUGUGUCAGAAUGUUUGUCGAGUGUACAACUGUUUCUACACUAUACAGCCGUUCAGAAGGCAACCCAGCUGAGAGAGUUCCAGUUUCAGUGAAUGAACAUGAAGUGUGUGAAGUGUAUUUAGUACAUUUACCAGAUCUGCUUGAUGAAAGUCAAAUGCCUUACUGAAUUCGUCACCCAAAUGAUAAAGAACUAUUUGUGACGUCCCCUGAGAUCGAGAGUCGGCCGCCAGUUUCAAUCUACAACGCAGUUUCUUCAUGGAAUCGUGAGGUCCUGGCACGGAGAUCCUUGAGCCAACGCUGGCUUUUGUCCAUGACAGAAAAGGGACUUCCACCAACAUUCGGAUGCUUAUCUUCACGACGUACGCUGCUUCUUGUGCUUCACUGUUGAAUUAAAUCACUUCAGUGUUCGCUUCCGUCCGCUGUGAAAUACCUGCAGUCACUCGCCACGGGAUUAUGCCCAGAGGAGACCGCGAGAAGAUGGACGCCGGUAACGCCGGUAACUCCAAAAUGUCAGCGCGGAUCAUCAUUUGUUGUUGGUAAUAUUUGUGUUUGUGUUAGUGAACCCGUUGGCUGCCACGCCUUUGUUCUCCCCUGUGUUAGUUCCUUAGCACGGGCCGUGCUGUUCGGUCUCGUGGUUCACAUGCCGCGGGGUCGGAUAGUCGCACCAGCCCCAGAUUCGCCGCAAGGCGCCUGUUAGGCAGUGCACCAUAGGGAAUUCCCUCUUGUCGAUGCGGUGAUGGAUUCUAGAGGCGUGCAUUCCAUCUUCUCCUGUCACCGUGUCAGCCCGGACUUGUCAGCAAUGGCAAGUCUCACCUUUUGUCAUGGAUCCUUCAGACAUGGCGCGUAGAGUAGUAGAAGAACAACCUACGGGUUGUAUGGCGUGGCAGCCAACGGGUUAACUUAAGUGUAUGUAUGUACUAUGUAAUUAUGUAUGUAUAAUAUGUGUGAUUGUAAAAU
Long non-coding RNA from Daphnia pulicaria, 1280 nucleotides. RefSeq lists it as uncharacterized. NCBI's taxonomy places the organism in Eukaryota, Metazoa, Arthropoda, Branchiopoda, Diplostraca, Daphniidae. The record is from RefSeq and is a predicted model, not a curated record. The transcript is spliced from 5 exons.